RNAcentral lists this transfer RNA (73 nucleotides) under Flavobacterium sp. RNAcentral's name for it is "tRNA-Phe". It matches the Rfam family "tRNA". From Rfam's summary of the family: Transfer RNA (tRNA) molecules are approximately 80 nucleotides in length. Lineage: Bacteria; Pseudomonadati; Bacteroidota; Flavobacteriia; Flavobacteriales; Flavobacteriaceae. The record is from RNAcentral.
GUUUAGAUAGCUCAGUUGGUAGAGCGAAAGACUGAAAAUCUUUAGGUCAGUGGUUCGAUCCCACUUCUAGACA